Chelonoidis abingdonii (Abingdon island giant tortoise) is the source of this 2819-nucleotide non-coding RNA. The record is from RefSeq and is a predicted model, not a curated record. NCBI's taxonomy places the organism in Eukaryota, Metazoa, Chordata, Testudines, Testudinidae.
GUGAAGACAGUCCCAUGGGUUUUGCGCAAACAGACUUUUUUCCACUUUAAAUGGCAAGCGUAGACAUGCUUGGAUUCUUGUAACUACGUUAAGAUUUGUAACUUUUCACCUCAUUUUCUAUCUCUGGCCAUGCCACCCUGUACAUGUCUGUUUUCAGAAGCUAAGUAGGGUGGGGACUGCCUAGGACUUGGAUGGCAGACCUUGUUUCCUUACUGAUCUCUGUUGAGAGUUUAUAGCUAAAGCUCACAGCUGAUCAUCUGUGCUGAAGCUCUUAGCUGUGAUCCAGCCACUGAUUAGGGGGGCCUAGAAAUACCCAGGUUAACUUCAGGUCUCAUUUAGCAUGUUUCUAGCCCUUUGUUUUGUUGCAAAGAAAGCCUUGCAAAUGGAAAACAUCUCCAGGCUCUCCAUAACUUUGGUAAAGCAAAACAGAGCAAAAGCAUUGGUCCUUUCUAGGUAGCAUCUGUGGCAAAUAUCAAACCACAAUUGUUUUGGCUGUGGUCCUGUCCUAUAAAGAUAGUGUGUAUAUAUAUAUACACACACACACAUACAUAAAAGUGUUUUUUCCCCCCAAAUAAUUCAACAGCUGAAGGGAUUUUGUCCAAACUUUGCAAAAAAGUGACCUUCCAGCAGUCAGCCAGCCAGCAUGGAAAAUUUCAGUCCCCAAAAUGAAAAUUUUGGCAAAUUAUGAGCAUGUGCAAACAGCGUAUUGGAACAGAAACUCUUGUGAUCUUGUUUAAGUACCAGCAACGACUGUUAAACCAUGUGGCCACCAAUGAAAUGCAGCCACUUCUGCGGUGGAAGGCAGGAACCAACCAGUUCAAAGUACUCUCCAAAGAGGAGAAAUUCUGGCUAAAGAUUUUCUUCCUCUCUUAUGAAAAGUGUGCUAAAAUCUCUAAUGUUCAUACAGAGCAGACCUGACCUGCUUUUUAAGGUCUCAUCCAAACUACUGCCACUUAGUAAAGUGCAUAGGACUGCGUAGUGGGGCAGAUUGGCUGCCCGGAGGGGGAGGGGCCCCUCAUUGAACCCUGGUGAGCAGAGCCACGCCACACUCAACCCUUCAGCUGGAAGUCAGUGGGCAGGACCAGAAGUAUAAAAGGCGGGCCGGAGAACUCAUUUGGGAGGCAGCCACCGGAGGAGCUAGACGUCUCCUGUGAGCUCCCGAGCAGGGAGGCUGCUGCAGACCCCAAGGGAGAUGAGGACUGGUCAGGGCCACUUAUAGACCUGAGCAUGGAGGAGCUGCAAGCGCUGAAAGAGGCCUUCUUCCCCAACGACCAGGAUGACCCUCUCCAGAUCCAGAGCCCGAUCCUGAAGACCAUGACCCAUUCGAGGAAGGAUCAGGCCCGUUACAUUGUAAGAUGUAUGGGGAAUUGGAUAAAGCAUGUCAUGGGGUUAGCUGCUCUUUAUGGGGAACCAGGGCCCAGUCUGCUCCUGACCACGUGAUAAAGGCCCCGCCGGGGGUAAGUUGCUGCCCCGAGUGGCUGAUUAAUAAAGGUUACUCAUGCGUAGUUAGAGGGCAGACCAAAGGCAGAUGGGAGGCUCCUGUGGAGCGGAGGGCAGCUCACAGGAGAAACCUGAGCCAGAGGGCUGAGCAGGGCUCUCUGCGGAACCCAUUGGGACAGCGAGCCUCUCAGAAGAGCUCAUGGAGACAGGCACCUCCUAGACAGAGGGCUGCAGUCUGCAGGCACCCAAAGGGACCUGGUCUCAGCCGGUGGUCACCCAGACACUGGCUGGAAGCCCAGACUCACCUGGAUCACCUGCUUUUCCUGGAGAAGGGUCACAGCGGACAGACUUCCCCGACCCCCUGGCUCCAGAGGAGGAUAUUACUCCAGCAGGGGCAAGAGGCACAACCCCAGGGCGGAUACUGGCACCAAGGGAACCCCAGGGGAAGAGCCUGGGUAGAGGGGAACAUAGGACUCAGGUGGGGGACAUGGGCUAAGAUGAACUCAUCACCUGCCGGGAUGUUGGGGUGAAAGUUUUGUUGAAGUUCUACCUGGGCUUUCCUGUUAAUAAAUGACACCCUCCACUAGGGGGUGCCCUUUAGCAUUUAACAGGCUGUUUGGACUUGCCACUACCCUGGGUGAGGGGAAAACAAAGGAAGGGCUGGCCUGCAACACCACACCUGCCCGCAUGGGGGCGCUCUGGAAUGACAAGGGGGUAAAGGAGUUUGCUCAUUAAGGCUGUUUUUAAAUAUAGCUGCAGGGUUUUCCGUCACCAGUCACUGACGAUGGAAGGCAGGAAUUGGAGAGAUGCUAAUAUCUAACGUACAGACAGACCCUGCAGUGGUUUUGCUCCCAUAGAGUUUGCUCCAGUCCCAUAUGACACAUCUGUGGUAGACUAGACUCACGCUUCAUCCUGUCCAGCCUCAGUCAUAUGGACUGAAUCCAAAAGGGCUUUUAGGGAGUAAAGCAAUACAAAGCAGCAUCUGGUCUGUGGGACUAGUUACAUCUACCACAGCUGGGAAGAGCAGGGGAAUAAUCAACUCAAGUGUUCGUUCCUCAGGGCCCGUAGUGGAGGGCAGAUGGGGGCAGGCAUGGGAGGUAAAGGUCUGUGUUAGGAUAAAAAGUGACAAGCAAGACGGCGCUGAUGAGAAGCACAGAGCAGCUGUCCCAAGGAGCAGUUGUGCUGCACCCAUGAGUUGAGAACUUUUUGCUAACAGGCACCUCACACAUCCUGCUCUUUCAGCAAGCAAAGAGACACACAAUACAUCUGGGCUCAGGCAAGAACAGGAAGGUGUUUAUUCAGGUGUGAUGCUCACAUGCAUCACAUUGCAUUCGUUUUACAUAAGAAAAGUCAGCCAAGAAGCAGAAUUAAAAAAAAUG